RNAcentral lists this ribosomal RNA (383 nucleotides) under uncultured eukaryote. RNAcentral's name for it is "partial 18S ribosomal RNA". It matches the Rfam family "Eukaryotic small subunit ribosomal RNA", at positions 592 to 976 of the family's 1831-position model. The record is from RNAcentral.
CAAUAGCGUAUAUUAAAGUUGUUGCAGUUAAAAAGCUCGUAGUUGGAUUUCUGGUGGGAGCGAUCGGUCUGGCGCUUAGCGCGAGUACUUGCAUCGUCUCCGGCCAUCCUUGGGGAGAGUCUGUCUGGCAUUAAGUUGUCUGGCAGAGGAUCCUCAUCGUUUACUGUGAAAAAAUUAGAGUGUUCAAAGCAGGCUUAUGCCGUUGAAUAUAUUAGCAUGGAAUAAUAAGAUAGGACUUUGGUACUAUUUUGUUGGUUUGCGCACCAAAGUAAUGAUUAAUAGGGACAGUUGGGGGUAUUCGUAUUCCGUUGUCAGAGGUGAAAUUCUUGGAUUUACGGAAGACGAACUACUGCGAAAGCAUUUACCAAGGAUGUUUUCAUUAA